GACGAACGCUGGCGGCGUGCUUAACACAUGCAAGUCGAGCGGUAAGGCCCUUUCGGGGGUACGACGAGCGGCGAACGGGUGAGUAACACGUGGGUGACCUGCCCUUAGCUCUGGGAGUAAGCCUGGGAAACGUAGGGUCGUAAUACCGGAUAUGACUCCAUGACGCAUGUUGUGGGUGGAAAGCCUUGUGCGGCUAGGAUGGCCCGCGGCCUAUCAGCUUGUUGGUGGGGUGAUGGCCUACCAAGGCGACGACGGUAGCCGGCCUGAGAGGGCGACCGGCCACACUGGGA
RNAcentral lists this ribosomal RNA (290 nucleotides) under uncultured bacterium. Its description in RNAcentral is "partial 16S ribosomal RNA". It matches the Rfam family "Bacterial small subunit ribosomal RNA", at positions 28 to 318 of the family's 1533-position model. The record is from RNAcentral.